This 45-nucleotide non-coding RNA is filed under the name Schistosoma margrebowiei. The record is from RNAcentral. Lineage: Eukaryota; Metazoa; Platyhelminthes; Trematoda; Strigeidida; Schistosomatidae.
GUCCAGCUGAUGAGUCCCAAAUAGGACGAAACGCGCAUCCUGGAU